Molecule: ribosomal RNA, 402 nt
Filed under: uncultured bacterium
Lineage: Bacteria
Description: bacterial SSU rRNA
Rfam family: Bacterial small subunit ribosomal RNA
Source: RNAcentral
UGGGGAAUAUUGGACAAUGGGGGAAACCCUGAUCCAGCAAUGCCACGUGAGUGAAGAAGGCCUUAGGGUUGUAAAGCUCUUUCGCCCGCGAAGAUAAUGACGGUAGCGGGAGAAGAAGCCCCGGCUAACUCCGUGCCAGCAGCCGCGGUAAUACGGAGGGGGCUAGCGUUGUUCGGAAUUACUGGGCGUAAAGCGUACGUAGGCGGAUGCGCAAGUUGGGGGUGAAAUCCCGGGGCUUAACCUCGGAAUUGCCCUCAAAACUGCACGUCUUGAGACCGAGAGAGGUAAGGGGAAUUCCUAGUGUAGAGGUGAAAUUCGUAGAUAUUAGGAAGAACACCAGUGGCGAAGGCGCCUUACUGGCUCGGUACUGACGCUGAGGUACGAAAGCGUGGGUAGCAAACA